This 80-nucleotide non-coding RNA is filed under the name human gut metagenome. RNAcentral describes it as "Cyclic di-GMP-I riboswitch". It matches the Rfam family "c-di-GMP-I riboswitch aptamer", at positions 11 to 83 of the family's 87-position model. From Rfam's summary of the family: GEMM was predicted in a large-scale screen for bacterial structured RNA regulatory elements. Genes associated with GEMM are involved in a diverse array of functions, including chemotaxis regulation, signal transduction, secretion and chitin. The record is from RNAcentral.
UGGUAAACCCGCCGAAAGUCGGGGACACAAAGCCAAAUGGGUCUAAGGUCUGCUAUGGUCAGACUAUGACAGCCGGUUGC